UUUCAAGUAAGCAUUAAUUGCUUAGUUUUCAAUAUUACCCCAUGUAUUAAAUGUAACUUUGGUUCUCUUACUAUUUUCUGUUCAAUAAAUAACAAUCUCUUUUUCUAAUAUAAGGGCAAAAUAAACAAUUGAUAUUAUAGUUAAUGCUAUAUAAUCAUUUUCUUAAUACUUGUGCACAACUCUAAAACGACCUAUAUUAAGGAACAGGAGUAGUAUUUAUGUAUAGGAAACUGUUAAAUUCACAACAAAAAAUGUUUUCCACAACAAAAGUGUCACUAUAGAUCCUAUAGCUACAGUUUUCACUGUCGCUAUACAUUUACAGUGACACUUGUUAUGAAAAUAACAAAAAAUAUUAUGAAUUUAACAAUUCCCUAAUAUAUAUUGGGAUUACUUAACGUGGACGGUCCAAAAAGGUAUUCAGUUGUACGUUUAGUUUUUUCCUUUUGAUAUUAUAUUAUAAUAUUAUGGAGUAUACGCUUUACACGUUAUACUACUCAUCAUUCACACUGCUACCAGUAAAUGAAGAAGAGAAAGGCGGCUAGCAGCUAAAGGAAUAAUAAUUUUCAAUUUGGAUCGGAAUGAAAUAUGGAUUAAAAAAUGGUUAAUCGGUUCAAAUUUAUAUUUGUUUUAAAAAAUAUGGAUUCAAACUUUAACUAACCUGAAUAAAUUAACUAACUCAUUUAGUUCCAGUUAAUAUGAUUUGACUCAACAGUUAAUUAACUAUAUUGCCAGAGUGUACCUCUGACAUAAAGAAUCAAUAUUUCUAUUAUAUAUCUAAGAGAUGCAAUAUUACUGGUAGCACCACAACUUCAGAGUCAUACGUAGAGAAAUCCACUCAUCAUAACUAUGUUUAGUAGAGAGAGGAAGAAACGAAUCGACGACUCUAACUGGAGCAUGAAAAUAAUAGUGUUUUUAGAUAUCUACCAACUACAACUGGGAAAGGAAUUCAAGAAGUUUUAAGACGGGACCAAGAGCCAUGCAUGCAUUCCAAAUUCUUUCAGGUAACUUGAGACUUCUGGCGCUUUAUAUACUGAAGGAUAGGCUCCUUAACCUGUAAACAGAAAAAGGGCAUGGAAAUAUAUCAGUUUCUCAACGUUGAAAUUCUAAUCAGUGAUGGAUAUAUAUAGUAUACCAGAUUAUAGACAAAGCCAUGGAAGGAACUUGAAGCUUACCGUGCUUGCUUUCCUGGAGCGCUUGUUCUGAGUAGAUGAUCUGCUACAAAUGACUGCAUCAAACUUAUCACAAUUGCCAUUUUCCAUAACUUGUGCAAAACUCUCUCUUGACGCUACUGGCUGCAUAAUUUACCAAAAUAACAUGAUUUAUUUCAGAUUUAUAGGAUUCUGGUAAAAGAAAAUUCGUU
RNAcentral lists this long non-coding RNA (1360 nucleotides) under Panax ginseng (ginseng). Its description in RNAcentral is "long non-coding RNA (PGIN_LNC012156)". The record is from RNAcentral. Lineage: Eukaryota; Viridiplantae; Streptophyta; Magnoliopsida; Apiales; Araliaceae.